AGUGAACGCUGGCGGUAGGCCUAACACAUGCAAGUCGAACGGCAGCACAGUAAGAGCUUGCUCUUACGGGUGGCGAGUGGCGGACGGGUGAGGAAUACAUCGGAAUCUACUUUUUCGUGGGGGAUAACGUAGGGAAACUUACGCUAAUACCGCAUACGACCUACGGGUGAAAGCAGGGGAUCUUCGGACCUUGCGCGAUUGAAUGAGCCGAUGUCGGAUUAGCUAGUUGGCGGGGUAAAGGCCCACCAAGGCGACGAUCCGUAGCUGGUCUGAGAGGAUGAUCAGCCACACUGGAACUGAGACACGGUCCAGACUCCUACGGGAAGCAGCAGUGGGGAAUAUUGGACAAUGGGCGCAAGCCUGAUCCAGCCAUACCGCGUGGGUGAAGAAGGCCUUCGGGUUGUAAAGCCCUUUUGUUGGGAAAGAAAAGCAGCACGUUAAUACCCCGCUGUUCUGACGGUACCCAAAGAAUAAGCACCGGCUAACUUCGUG
This 492-nucleotide ribosomal RNA is filed under the name uncultured bacterium. RNAcentral describes it as "partial 16S ribosomal RNA". It matches the Rfam family "Bacterial small subunit ribosomal RNA", at positions 29 to 507 of the family's 1533-position model. The record is from RNAcentral.